UACGGGGGGGGCAAGCGUUGUUCGGAAUUACUGGGCGUAAAGGGCUCGUAGGCGGCCAACCAAGUCAGACGUGAAAUCCCUCGGCUUAACCGGGGAACUGCGUCUGAUACUGGAUGGCUUGAGUUUGGGAGAGGGAUGCGGAAUUCCAGGUGUAGCGGUGAAAUGCGUAGAUACCUGGAGGAACACCGGUGGCGAAGGCGGCAUCCUGGACCAACACUGACGCUGAGUGAGCGAAAGCCAGGGGAGCAAACGGG
This 254-nucleotide ribosomal RNA is filed under the name uncultured bacterium. RNAcentral describes it as "partial 16S ribosomal RNA". It matches the Rfam family "Bacterial small subunit ribosomal RNA", at positions 524 to 776 of the family's 1533-position model. The record is from RNAcentral.